GUAUUGCUGACCGGCAUAGGAGUGGAGGCUAGUACCAUCUUUGUCAUCCAUUCUCAGUAGGUUAUUGAUUAACCUACUUAUUGUACUAUAUUUCGAGUGUGUUCCUUAGAUUGCUCUGAAUACUUGUAGAGAGUGGAUUUAUACAUUUGUAUAAUUAUGUGUGUAAGAGAGUGGUCUAAUUUGGGAGGAAGUUGAAUGAUUUGAAUUUGUAUAAGAUGUUAAGAUUGAAGCAGGGUGGCUUCAAGCAUAGCAUUUAGAGUAUUGAGAAGUGUUUUCAGCAGGUUUAGGGUUGCCCAUUUUUAGGGGAGGUUCUGUCGAAUUUUCUCGAAAAGUGGGCCCCGCAGGUCCACCUAGGAGUUAGGAGGGUAAUUCUGGGGUGGGUCCU
Molecule: long non-coding RNA, 385 nt
Filed under: Rosa chinensis
Lineage: Eukaryota; Viridiplantae; Streptophyta; Magnoliopsida; Rosales; Rosaceae
Description: sRNA RchiOBHm_Chr7g0235601
Source: RNAcentral